RNAcentral lists this long non-coding RNA (1227 nucleotides) under Sarcophilus harrisii (Tasmanian devil). RNAcentral's name for it is "lncRNA (ENSSHAG00000029968.1)". Lineage: Eukaryota; Metazoa; Chordata; Mammalia; Dasyuromorphia; Dasyuridae. The record is from RNAcentral.
AAGGAAUUUUUUUAAAACAAAUUAUUCAUAAGAGAAAGAUCUCUCUCAUAUAUCUACUAUAUUUAGUGUAUAUAUGACACAAACAUACAUCUUAAAAUAAAUGCCUUAAUUAUAGUAGUCUGCAUGUAUGUGUGUGACUAGUUCCAUUAUACCACAGUGAAUUAAGAUAGUUAAAUGCAUCUUCAAGGCAAAUGCCUAAACAAACGGGUACUGUUUGCCAAAGUAACAGAAAAUUAAAUCAACAAAACUCAAAUACCCUUUGGGAAUUUGGCAGAUAAAGUAUAAAAUAAAGAGGGCUUACCAUAAUGCUCUACAAAGUAGAAUUAAAAUGAAAUAGAAAAAAAUUCCUACUGUCUAAUAUUGAUUUACAAAAUUGGAAAUUGAUAUUACCUAUGUUGUAAUGUAUUUUUUAUUUAUUUUAGUAAGAUUUUCCAAUUACAUUUUGAUAUGGUACCACACAGUUUUGAGAUGUGAUAUCCCUUGAAACAAAACUGAAACAUCAUACAAGGAUACAUGAGUCCUGUCAAUGAUUUCUUGAAUCCAUAUAUCAGUAAAAAUAAGACAUCUAUUACAUCUUUUUUUUUUUUUUAAUAGCCUCUUAUUUACAGGAUAUAUACAUGGGUAACUUUACAGCAUUAACAAUUGCCAAACCUCUUGUUCCAAUUUUUCACCUCUUACCCCCACCCACCCCCUUCCCUAGAUGGCAGGAUGACUAGUAAAUGUUAAAUAUAUUAAAAUAUAAAUUAGAUACACAAUAAGUAUACCUGACCAAAACGUUAUUUUGCUGUAGAAAAAGAAUCAGACUCUGAAAUAUUGUACAAUUAGCUUGUGAAGGAAAUCAAAAAUGCAGGUGUGCAUAAAUAUAGGGAUUAGGAAUUCAAUGUAAUGGUUUUUAGUCAUCUCCCAGAGUUCUUUUUCUGGGCAUAGCUAGUUCAGUUCAUUACUGCUCCAUUAGAAAUGAUUUGGUUGAUCUCGGUGCUGAGGAGGGCCUGAUCCAUCAGAACUGGUCAUCAUAUAGUAUUGUUGUUGAAGUAUAUGAUGAUCUCCUGGUCCUGCUCAUUUCACUCAGCAUCAGUUCAUGUAAGUCUCUCCAGGCCUUUCUGAAAUUAUCCUGUUGGUCAUUUCUUACAGAACAGUAAUAUUCCAUAAUUUUCAUAUACCAUAAUUUAUUCAACCAUUCUCCAACUGCUGGACAUCCAUUCAGUUUCCAAUUUUUAGCCACUAAAA